CCUACGGGUGGCAGCAGUGGGGAAUAUUGGACAAUGGGGGGAACCCUGAUCCAGCCAUGCCGCGUGUGUGAAGAAGGCCCUCGGGUUGUAAAGCACUUUCAGUGAGGAAGAACGCCUGGUGGUUAAUACCCAUCAGGAAAGACAUCACUCACAGAAGAAGCACCGGCUAACUCCGUGCCAGCAGCCGCGGUAAUACGGAGGGUGCGAGCGUUAAUCGGAAUUACUGGGCGUAAAGCGCGCGUAGGUGGCUUGAUAAGCCGGUUGUGAAAGCCCCGGGCUCAACCUGGGAACGGCAUCCGGAACUGUCAAGCUAGAGUGCAGGAGAGGAAGGUAGAAUUACCGGUGUAGCGGUGAAAUGCGUAGAGAUCGGGAGGAAUACCAGUGGCGAAGGCGGCCUUCUGGCCUGACACUGCCACUGAGGUGCGAAGGCGUGGGUAGCAAACAGGAUUAGAUACCCCAGUAGUC
Molecule: ribosomal RNA, 465 nt
Filed under: Vreelandella stevensii
Lineage: Bacteria; Pseudomonadati; Pseudomonadota; Gammaproteobacteria; Oceanospirillales; Halomonadaceae
Description: partial 16S ribosomal RNA
Rfam family: Bacterial small subunit ribosomal RNA
Source: RNAcentral